Long non-coding RNA from Lytechinus variegatus (green sea urchin), 182 nucleotides. RefSeq lists it as uncharacterized. The transcript has 3 exons. The record is from RefSeq and is a predicted model, not a curated record. Lineage: Eukaryota; Metazoa; Echinodermata; Echinoidea; Temnopleuroida; Toxopneustidae.
CAAUCUGGAUGGGCUUGAAGGAGAUGAUCACCCAUUUCUAAUCAUACUAGAUGUCAGCUCCAAUUUACUAAACAAUCUCGACGCUGGAAAGUUCCGGAGUUAUGCUUCCUUAAGAACAUUGUUUGUAAGCGACAACCCCCUCGAAAGGUUGUCCUCUGGAGUAUUCUACGGAGGACCUUCUC